This 611-nucleotide ribosomal RNA is filed under the name uncultured bacterium. RNAcentral's name for it is "bacterial SSU rRNA". It matches the Rfam family "Bacterial small subunit ribosomal RNA", at positions 86 to 732 of the family's 1533-position model. The record is from RNAcentral.
ACGACAUAGUUGGCAGACGGGUGAGUAACGCGUGGGAACGUACCUUUCGCUACGGAAUAGCUCUGGGAAACUGGUGGUAAUACCGUAUACGCCCUUCGGGGGAAAGAUUUAUCGGCGAAAGAUCGGCCCGCGUUAGAUUAGGUAGUUGGUGGGGUAAUGGCCUACCAAGCCUACGAUCUAUAGCUGGUCUGAGAGGAUGAUCAGCCACACUGGGACUGAGACACGGCCCAGACUCCUACGGGAGGCAGCAGUGGGGAAUCUUGCACAAUGGGCGAAAGCCUGAUGCAGCCAUGCCGCGUGAAUGAUGAAGGCCUUAGGGUUGUAAAAUUCUUUCGCCAGGGAUGAUAAUGACAGUACCUGGUAAAGAAGCCCCGGCUAACUUCGUGCCAGCAGCCGCGGUAAUACGAAGGGGGCUAGCGUUGUUCGGAAUUACUGGGCGUAAAGCGCACGUAGGCGGACUUUUAAGUCAGGUGUGAAAUCCCGGGGCUCAACCUCGGAACUGCAUUUGAAACUGGAAGUCUGGAGUUCAGGAGAGGUUAGCGGAAUACCGAGUGUAGAGGUGAAAUUCGUAGAUAUUCGGUGGAACACCAGUGGCGAAGGCGGCUAACUGG